CCGUCGUGAAGAGGGAAACAACCCAGACCGCCAGCUAAGGUCCCAAAGUCAUGGUUAAGUGGGAAACGAUGUGGGAAGGCCCAGACAGCCAGGAUGUUGGCUUAGAAGCAGCCAUCAUUUAAAGAAAGCGUAAUAGCUCACUGGUCGAGUCGGCCUGCGCGGAAGAUGUAACGGGGCUAAACCAUGCACCGAAGCUGCGGCAGCGACGCUUAUGCGUUGUUGGGUAGGGGAGCGUUCUGUAAGCCUGCGAAGGUGUGCUGUGAGGCAUGCUGGAGGUAUCAGAAGUGCGAAUGCUGACAUAAGUAACGAUAAAGCGGGUGAAAAGCCCGCUCGCCGGAAGACCAAGGGUUCCUGUCCAACGUUAAUCGGGGCAGGGUGAGUCGACCCCUAAGGCGAGGCCGAAAGGCGUAGUCGAUGGGAAACAGGUUAAUAUUCCUGUACUUGGUGUUACUGCGAAGGGGGGACGGAGAAGGCUAUGUUGGCCGGGCGACGGUUGUCCCGGUUUAAGCGUGUAGGCUGGUUUUCCAGGCAAAUCCGGAAAAUCAAGGCUGAGGCGUGAUGACGAGGCACUACGGUGCUGAAGCAACAAAUGCCCUGCUUCCAGGAAAAGCCUCUAAGCAUCAGGUAACAUCAAAUCGUACCCCAAACCGACACAGGUGGUCAGGUAGAGAAUACCAAGGCGCUUGAGAGAACUCGGGUGAAGGAACUAGGCAAAAUGGUGCCGUAACUUCGGGAGAAGGCACGCUGAUAUGUAGGUGAAGUCCCUCGCGGAUGGAGCUGAAAUCAGUCGAAGAUACCAGCUGGCUGCAACUGUUUAUUAAAAACACAGCACUGUGCAAACACGAAAGUGGACGUAUACGGUGUGACGCCUGCCCGGUGCCGGAAGGUUAAUUGAUGGGGUCAGCGCAAGCGAAGCUCUUGAUCGAAGCCCCGGUAAACGGCGGCCGUAACUAUAACGGUCCUAAGGUAGCGAAAUUCCUUGUCGGGUAAGUUCCGACCUGCACGAAUGGCGUAAUGAUGGCCAGGCUGUCUCCACCCGAGACUCAGUGAAAUUGAACUCGCUGUGAAGAUGCAGUGUACCCGCGGCAAGACGGAAAGACCCCGUGAACCUUUACUAUAGCUUGACACUGAACAUUGAGCCUUGAUGUGUAGGAUAGGUGGGAGGCUUUGAAGUGUGGACGCCAGUCUGCAUGGAGCCGACCUUGAAAUACCACCCUUUAAUGUUUGAUGUUCUAACGUUGACCCGUAAUCCGGGUUGCGGACAGUGUCUGGUGGGUAGUUUGACUGGGGCGGUCUCCUCCUAAAGAGUAACGGAGGAGCACGAAGGUUGGCUAAUCCUGGUCGGACAUCAGGAGGUUAGUGCAAUGGCAUAAGCCAGCUUGACUGCGAGCGUGACGGCGCGAGCAGGUGCGAAAGCAGGUCAUAGUGAUCCGGUGGUUCUGAAUGGAAGGGCCAUCGCUCAACGGAUAAAAGGUACUCCGGGGAUAACAGGCUGAUACCGCCCAAGAGUUCAUAUCGACGGCGGUGUUUGGCACCUCGAUGUCGGCUCAUCACAUCCUGGGGCUGAAGUAGGUCCCAAGGGUAUGGCUGUUCGCCAUUUAAAGUGGUACGCGAGCUGGGUUUAGAACGUCGUGAGACAGUUCGGUCCCUAUCUGCCGUGGGCGCUGGAGAACUGAGGGGGGCUGCUCCUAGUACGAGAGGACCGGAGUGGACGCAUCACUGGUGUUCGGGUUGUCAUGCCAAUGGCACUGCCCGGUAGCUAAAUGCGGAAGAGAUAAGUGCUGAAAGCAUCUAAGCACGAAACUUGCCCCGAGAUGAGUUCUCCCUGACUCCUUGAGAGUCCUGAAGGAACGUUGAAG
This 1859-nucleotide ribosomal RNA is filed under the name Escherichia coli. RNAcentral's name for it is "partial 23S ribosomal RNA". It matches the Rfam family "Bacterial large subunit ribosomal RNA", at positions 1005 to 2843 of the family's 2925-position model. The record is from RNAcentral. Lineage: Bacteria; Pseudomonadati; Pseudomonadota; Gammaproteobacteria; Enterobacterales; Enterobacteriaceae.